AAACAUACUUAAUAAUUAAAACCAUAAAUAAAACUAAAAAUUCAAAAAUAAAUAAAUUUUGUAAGAAAAAGUUUAAUACUUUAUGCAUUUGGUACAUCACCAAAAAUUGCAUCAAGUAGUGUGAUAAACUGUAAAUAACGUUGAACUCGCGGGUUUUCCGGAUUGCCUCUAUACAUAUGAUAAAGUUUCUUCAAGAUAUCCAAACGAUUUUUAACACAUCUCCAACUCAAAUUUUUUCCAAACGUUAAUAUUCUUAAGAAUAUUUUCUUUUUGAACAUCACUUAGAAAUCUGAUUUUGGGGUCUUUGGAUUCUUCCGUUUAUUUCUCCACAAUAACCCGUUGAAGUAACGCAAAUGUGGUCUCGUUUGACCAAAUGAUUUUCUAAUCGAGAAAACAAAUCAAAACAUGUAUUCAAUCAAAAAACUCAAAAAAAAACAAAAUAAAAAAAAACAACGAUGCCAUGAAAUAUUCCGAGAAUUACACUAGCUAAUGAAUGGAUGAAAGGAUAGAUCAUACUUACGUUUGAUUCUUGAUUUUGACUUUGAUUUUUGUUAGUUUGGGUGGAUGCCAUAAUUGAGAGAAUAGGGUUUCAUUGAUUAGGGUUUUCUGAUAAGAAUAAGUAUAAGGUUUGGGUGGAAGACAUAAUUAUUUUAAUUAAUUAAUU
This 664-nucleotide small RNA is filed under the name Arabidopsis thaliana (thale cress). Its description in RNAcentral is "ATSL107180". Lineage: Eukaryota; Viridiplantae; Streptophyta; Magnoliopsida; Brassicales; Brassicaceae. The record is from RNAcentral.